AACUCAAAGAACAUACAAAGAACAGACGCGAUUAUUGCUAGUUGAAAACUUUACCCAAUACCCCGCCUUGACGACUUGAAAAAUAGUCGGCUAUGGCAAUUUUUGACAGUCUCUGAGGAGA
The sequence is a small nuclear RNA, 121 nucleotides long. Its record names the gene U4. It matches the Rfam family "U4 spliceosomal RNA". From Rfam's summary of the family: U4 small nuclear RNA (U4 snRNA) is a component of the major U2-dependent spliceosome. The structure of U4 snRNA from yeast and human has been reported. The record is from Ensembl.